This is a long non-coding RNA of Diorhabda carinulata, 1522 nucleotides long. RefSeq lists it as uncharacterized. Lineage: Eukaryota; Metazoa; Arthropoda; Insecta; Coleoptera; Chrysomelidae. The transcript is spliced from 3 exons. The record is from RefSeq and is a predicted model, not a curated record.
AUUCUGCAAGUCAGCAACGGAUAGUCAACGAUAUGUGAAAGUUAUCGGUCAAUUUGUUACCACAUACUUGUAUUUCUUGAAAACAAAUGCCAAGCCGAAUUAAUCUUUUUUGCUGGACCGGAUUUAAUCGGACUUGUGUCGGGUUGGAUUACAAUUGGGUGGAUUAGAAUACCAAGCUUUGACGGAGCCUAAUAAAAGUUUUUAGCUGAAAUUUCUAAAAUUGGAAUGUAUUGAAAAUUAAAUUAGGUUUACAGUUAUAAUGAAUUUCUAUAUUUGUCAUUUAUGAAAUGAAAUGUAAUCAUUCAGAUACGGAGCCACAUCUGAAGGAUAGAAGAAAAUUUUGAAAACUUAUUUAAUAGUUAUAAGUCAGGUACAAAUAACUGAAAGGAUGUGAUCUGUUUUAUAUUCUGAUAUGAAGUUCAUAUAUGUAUAUUUUAGGUUUAAUUCAAAUCGAUGGAAAUGGACGGCAAAUUCCCAUCGGACGUAUAGAAAAUAACGAAAUGUGUAUGUUACCAGAUCCCGGAACAACUUACAAAAACCAUAUACAUACAUGUUAUCUCGAAUUUUCAUCUAUUCCGCAUUUUUUGUAGUUUCGCUGAUUUAGAAUACAGUGAAGUUCAAUCACACAGAUGACGGCAAAAAUUUCAAUUCAAAAAUCUUGAUUUAUAAUUGAAUCAGAAAAUAGUUUGCUCGAGAAUGUAUUAUUACCAAAACACACAAUCAAAUUAUUCUGUUGCAGUCACAAUAUAAUAAAUAAGAGUUGAAGAAACUAAACAACCGUCAAAAAUAUUUUUUAUAUUUCAAAUAAGAAAAGUGUCAUUAUAAAAUUAGCACCUCACUUUUAUACAUUAAAAUAAUAUUUUAUUAAUCACUCCACAUUAAUGCUAAUGAGAAGCUGCAACUUAGAAUUUCUGGAACCGUUGUGACAUUCAUACUGAAAACAUGUUUACACUAACAGUGAAUUUAACUUCAGUCUCUGAAGAAGAUAACUUGGUGAUGGAAACGCACACCAGACAGAGUAAUCGUGAGUGUUGGUGUAGUGGUAGUGGGAACAGUAGGUUCAGAAUGAGAAGCUGCUUUUAUUACUACUCUUUUUUUCCUAUUCUUUCCUAGUCGUUUAAAUAUUUUCAACAUGUAUCAUGUUACAGUUAUUUCUUAAUUUCGGUUUGGUUUGCUACUAAACCGUGUUAUUUUAUUUUUUUAAAUUCUCAUUUAUUUUUAUUUAAAAUCAAAAACUUAUCUAAGAAGUUGCAAUAUGAACUAAAUUUUCUGCACUCCCAUUAAACGAUUUAUCGAAGAAUUGGGGAGCAUUUUCAGACGAACGUGGAAUGAGAUUUCAACAGCAAGUUUCUCAAAAGGAGAAGUGCUGCAGUGGAAAAUGGAUAUGAAAUUUGCUAGUGGACUUGUUGAAUCCUUGAACGUGAAACCUCUCCUGGUGAAUACAAGCGAAAGAAGACGACCAAAUGAACUGUUGAUCGUUUUUAUCUUUUUUUUUGAUACAAUAAAAAGUAUGUUUUUUAAA